Molecule: ribosomal RNA, 253 nt
Filed under: uncultured bacterium
Lineage: Bacteria
Description: partial 16S ribosomal RNA
Rfam family: Bacterial small subunit ribosomal RNA
Source: RNAcentral
UACGGGGGGGGCAAGCGUUGUUCGGAAUGACUGGGCGUAAAGGGCGCGUAGGCGGUUUGUACAGUCAGAUGUGAAAUUCCUGGGCUUAACCUGGGGGCUGCAUUUGAUACGUGCAGACUUGAGUGAGGAAGAGGGUUGUGGAAUUCCCAGUGUAGAGGUGAAAUUCGUAGAUAUUGGGAAGAACACCGGUGGCGAAGGCGGCAACCUGGUCCUUGACUGACGCUGAGGCGCGAAAGCGUGGGGAGCAAACAGG